RNAcentral lists this ribosomal RNA (868 nucleotides) under uncultured bacterium. RNAcentral describes it as "bacterial SSU rRNA". It matches the Rfam family "Bacterial small subunit ribosomal RNA", at positions 58 to 916 of the family's 1533-position model. The record is from RNAcentral.
CAAGUCGAACGGCAGCACGGAGAGCUUGCUCUCUGGUGGCGAGUGGCGAACGGGUGAGUAAUAUAUCGGAACGUAUCCAAUAAUGGGGGAUAACGAGUCGAAAGAUUCGCUAAUACCGCAUACGCCCUACGGGGGAAAGCAGGGGAUCGUAAGACCUUGCGUUAAUGGAGCGGCCGAUAUCUGAUUAGCUUGUUGGUGAGGUAAAGGCUCACCAAGGCGACGAUCAGUAGCUGGUUUGAGAGAACGACCAGCCACACUGGAACUGAGACACGGUCCAGACUCCUACGGGAGGCAGCAGUGGGGAAUUUUGGACAAUGGGGGCAACCCUGAUCCAGCCAUUCCGCGUGAGUGAAGAAGGCCUUCGGGUUGUAAAGCUCUUUCGCAAGGGAAGAAAACUUAUGAUCGAAUAAAUCAUGAGGUUGACGGUACCUUGAUAAGAAGCACCGGCUAACUACGUGCCAGCAGCCGCGGUAAUACGUAGGGUGCGAGCGUUAAUCGGAAUUACUGGGCAUAAAGCGUGCGCAGGCGGUUUUGUAAGUCGGAUGUGAAAUCCCCGGGCUCAACCUGGGAACUGCGUUCGAAACUGCAAGGCUAGAGUGUGUCAGAGGGGGGUAGAAUUCCACGUGUAGCAGUGAAAUGCGUAGAGAUGUGGAGGAAUACCAAUGGCGAAGGCAGCCCCCUGGGAUAACACUGACGCUCAUGCACGAAAGCGUGGGGAGCAAACAGGAUUAGAUACCCUGGUAGUCCACGCCCUAAACGAUGUCAACUAGUUGUUGGUAGAGUAAAAUCUAUGAGUAACGUAGCUAACGCGUGAAGUUGACCGCCUGGGGAGUACGGUCGCAAGAUUAAAACUCAAAGGAAUUGACGG